GAUGAACGCUGGCGGCGUGCCUAAUACAUGCAAGUCGAGCGAACGGACGAGAAGCUUGCUUCUCUGAUGUUAGCGGCGAACGGGUGAGUAACACGUGGAUAACCUACCUAUAAGACUGGGAUAACUUCGGGAAACCGGAGCUAAUACCGGAUAAUAUUUUGAACCGCAUGGUUCAAAAGUGAAAGACGGUCUUGCUGUCACUUAUAGAUGGAUCCGCGCUGCAUUAGCUAGUUGGUAAGGUAACGGCUUACCAAGGCAACGAUGCAUAGCCGACCUGAGAGGGUGAUCGGCCACACUGGAACUGAGACACGGUCCAGACUCCUACGGGAGGCAGCAGUAGGGAAUCUUCCGCAAUGGGCGAAAGCCUGACGGAGCAACGCCGCGUGAGUGAUGAAGGUCUUCGGAUCGUAAAACUCUGUUAUUAGGGAAGAACAUAUGUGUAAGUAACUGUGCACAUCUUGACGGUACCUAAUCAGAAAGCCACGGCUAACUACGUG
This 497-nucleotide ribosomal RNA is filed under the name uncultured bacterium. RNAcentral's name for it is "partial 16S ribosomal RNA". It matches the Rfam family "Bacterial small subunit ribosomal RNA", at positions 28 to 507 of the family's 1533-position model. The record is from RNAcentral.